AGGUUUCCGUAGGUGAACCUGCGGAAGGAUCAUUUGCAUCAUCUAUUGUGCUGGGUGGAAUGUCUGUGGCUGUGGCAAUUCGGGUUGCAGAUUGCAAUGCCGAUUGCACACAAGAAGGCUGCAACCUGCUCUGACUGAGCACUGCUGGCCUCACACUUGGUUUUGAAGUGUAGUGCAGUAGAGAUCUUUUUGCAGUGAACAAGAAAUCCAGUUGUGGAUGCCUUGGCUCAAGCAUCGAGAAAGGUUGCAGCGAAGUGUUUUAUUCAUAGUGACUUGCAAAACUCUGCGAAACAAUGGGUUGUUGAAUGUGCACAAUGCUUGUGGGACUUACCAGCAGCAUGUCUAUGUGAGUGUAUGCUCAUCGUAUGCAGGGGGGUGCAUUUAUGUGAAUGCACUGAACUGCUGUAUGCUUUAUCAAAAACCUUGUGCUUUGAUAUUGCCCUUUCGUUUGCAUGUGGUGUGGUAUAUUACCAAUGUCAUGUUGGCAGAGACAUGUGUGCUUGAUGCUCUACUGGCGCACCCCAUGACCAUGGCAUGCAUGCAUCAUGUUA
This 551-nucleotide unclassified non-coding RNA is filed under the name Gonyaulax ellegaardiae. RNAcentral's name for it is "partial contains ITS1, 5.8S rRNA and ITS2". The stretch from base 203 to 356 matches the Rfam family "5.8S ribosomal RNA". Lineage: Eukaryota; Dinophyceae; Gonyaulacales; Gonyaulacaceae. The record is from RNAcentral.